CACAGGAGAGCUUGCUCUCUGGGUGGCGAGUGGCGGACGGGUGAGGAAUACAUGGGAAUCUACCCUGUCGUGGGGGAUAACGUAGGGAAACCUACGCUAAUACCGCAUACGACCGAGAGGUGAAAGCGGCGGACCGCAAGGCGUCGCGCGACUGGAUGAGCCCAUGUCGGAUUAGCUUGUUGGCGGGGUAACGGCCCACCAAGGCGACGAUCCGUAGCUGGUCUGAGAGGAUGAUCAGCCACACUGGGACUGAGACACGGCCCAGACUCCUACGGGAGGCAGCAGUAGGGAAUCUUCCGCAAUGGACGAAAGUCUGACGGAGCAACGCCGCGUGAACGAUGAAGGCCUUCGGG
Molecule: ribosomal RNA, 353 nt
Filed under: uncultured bacterium
Lineage: Bacteria
Description: bacterial SSU rRNA
Rfam family: Bacterial small subunit ribosomal RNA
Source: RNAcentral